GUUUACAGCCAUACUGCCCUGAACGCGCCUGGUCUCGUCUGAUCUCAGAAGCUAAGCAGGGUCGGAUCUGGUUGGUUCUUGGAUGCAAAACUAUAAAUU
RNAcentral lists this ribosomal RNA (99 nucleotides) under Octodon degus (degu). The record is from RNAcentral. Lineage: Eukaryota; Metazoa; Chordata; Mammalia; Rodentia; Octodontidae.